GAGUAAGCAUGACAUUAUCUGAGAUUGACCUACCUUUAAGGAAACCAGUUUGGUUUGGAGAAAUAAUUAUAUUCAUAAGAGGGGCUAGCCUAUUAUUAAGCAACUUUAAGAUAAUUUUGGAAGUGAAGUUGCUUAGACUAAUAGGUCUGAAAUCAGUAAAUUGUUGCGGGUUAUCAAUUUUAGGGAUAAGGAAAAGGCAUGUAUGAGUGAAUGAUCUGGGAAGUGGUUGCCCAGAGAAGAAUUCCAAAACCACCUGAUAAAGAUCAACAUAAAUUAUAUUCCAGUAGUGUCGAAAGAAUUUUUCAGAAAUGCCAUCGGGGCCAGGCGACAUGCUACUUUCCAUGGAGAAUACUACCUAUUUCAGUUCAUGGUAGGGAGUGCCUCUAAAACCAAGUUAUCUUCUUCAUUUAUUACUCUGUUAAGCCCUCUGAUCUUUGAAAAAUCUUUGCAAGUAGUUUCUUGUGUGAACUAUUGCUCAAAAAAGUUAAUAGUUUCAGUAACUAUAUCAUCCUUGUUCUUAAUCCAGGUACCAUCUUGCUUCUUGAUUCUUGUAAAUUGUAAUUGUUUCCUUCUGGAAUUAAUUAUAGAGUGAAAGAACCUAGUGUUAUUGUCACCAUCCGUAAACCACUUCAAGCCAGCUUUUUGUCUCCAAAAUGACUCUUCAUUUUUUAUGUGUCUAAUCAACUGUGCAUUCACAUUAUUGUAUUCCAUCCUAUUACUUUUAGAAUUGUCAUUUAGACAUCUUUCCUCUAAUACCUCAAGUGUAUUCUGCAAUUCCUUGGUCUUAUCAAAAAUAUUCCCAAUAGAAUUCUUGGACCAAAAGGAAAGACUCUUACAAAUAUUUUUUAGCUUGAGAUGAAAUCUCCACAUAGGGCCUCCUUCUACUUGUAGUUGCCAGGAUUAUUCCACCACUUGCAUAAAACCCUCCUGUUUAGUCCAAAGAUCUAAGAAUCUGAAAUAAUUUUUAGGCUCCAAUUGUGGAUUGAAAGUGGAAACAAGCAAAUGAGCAUAAUCAUAGUCAGUUCUGACCAAGUGCGUGACAGAGGUAUCUGCAAAAUUCCCUAACCAUUCCGAGUUAAUUAACAAGAGCUCUAUCCAAUCUUGCACAUAUCCUCGUAGUAGGUGCUCAGCCAUUACACCAAGUAAAAGGACUGCCAAUGCAACCAAGAUCCAGAAGGCCAUUAUCCACAAUGCAGUUGAUGAAGGGCAAGCUUUUAGACAUAUUUUGGAUCCCCCCUUUCUCCUAAGGAUCAAUAAUAACGUUAAAAUCACCAAUCAUCAUCCAUGUAGAGAUUUGAUGCUAUCCCAUAGAGGCUCCCUGAGAUUAGGUUUGCAUUUAGCAUACACUAAAGUUCAUGUAUAAAGUCUCCCCAUUAUUAUCAAUUGAGCAAUUGAUAAGUUGAGGAAGGUCUUCAAUAACAAUACAGUUGAUAGAGCUAUCACCAAAGAACCAUAUUUUAUUGUUCCAGUUGGCAUACGCAAAAUCAAACCCAAGUCCUCUCCUAAAUUUCUCUAACUUUUUCCUUCCACUGAAAGGUUCCAUGAUAGCAAUGAAUAAAAGGUUGAGAUUUCUUUUGAGUUGCUUAAGUCUGUCAAAGGCACCCUGUGAAGUGAUGCCUCUAAUAUUCUAAAUAAGAGACUUAAUCAUUAAAAGGAUGCAGAUUGAUCAUCAUUGUCCUGUGAAAAUUUCACAGGAGGAAUACCUUUGCCUUUUCUAUUACCUCUACCCUCCCUAAAGGUGAGUCCACCUCUGGUUAAUGAGAGUCCACCUCUGGUUACCUCAUGCCCCCUAGGUGAGAGGUGGUGUCUAUCAGUUAUAUCUCCAAAGGCUUGAACAAUUUCAUCUGGUGGUGGUGAUUGAUGUGAGAAUGCUUCUAGUAAUCUUUUAGUAUGUUCAUCACUGGUAGUUGAUUGAGCAUCAAGACUUUUCUCACUUUUAGACUGAUCUUCAACACUUUCAAAGUCAUUCUCGGAAUCACUAACAACUUGAUUAUUUUCAGCAAUUUUUUAUUCUUCCCCUUCAAAUUCAGAAUCUUCAUCAUUUACAAUAUCCAGCUCUAAUUCAUCACUAUUCUCUGAAGGAACAUUGUGCUUAAUAGGAUUGUUAUCUGGUGCAGGGGUUUUUAGAGGUUGGAUUAUCAGGAGGAUGAGGGUCUGGAGGCUCUUGAGAAAUGGGAUUUGUGUGUGCAUUUUCUAUCUGGUUUCUUGGUAGUGGAGGGCUAAUUUGUGUUGUCUAUGGAAUUUUAGAAACUGGGAUGGAUAUAUUUUGUUGUUUUGGAACAACAAAAGUAGAGGUGAUAUCAGAACUACUUUGGUGUUUUGGCUUGGUAAUAUUAUCAGGGAGCAUCUGAGAACCUUUCUUAAUGGGAUAUUGCAUAUUAGGAUUGGUCUGAGGUGUUGUGUUUUGGGGUUUAUCAGGUUUUGCAUUUAGAUUAACUUGGCUUGACUCAGUUGUUGGUGGAGUUGGUUAUUUUGUGCUAUGAUGUUGAUGAAUAUUGGUCUGUUGUUUGCUCUGGUUAACUUGCCAUUGUACUUUUUUUUUAGGUCUAUUCUUGUGUUUCUAUGCCUGGUACAAUUGGGCUAUAUGUUCAACUGGAUUGUUCUUGUACAAAACUUGUUUCUGUUUGUCUUGCGUUCCAUCAUUUGGUAGCUAUAUAGUUGGUUGGUUUGCCCUCUCUGGUUGUGAAUUUUUCCCUGUGAGAAUGACUUCCUGAUGAAGUUGUUGUGGUAGCAUAUUCAAGUUAGUAUUCCCAAUUAUGUGUUGAUGUAAUUUCUUGUUUCCUCUUUGAACUCUCUAUUGAUCAUCAAUCUCCUCAGUGUUGGCUGAGGCUUGAUACUGAACUUCUUUAUCUCUUUUCUUAUUUCUGGAGGAGAGUAGAUCGUGUUCUUGCAUACAAAAAUAUCGGCAAUAUGAUGGGGCACCCUUGUAUUAAAUAUCUAACCAGUAUCCAUCUUCCUCAAUACUAUCUAACCUCUUAAAACCCAGCCAGAUUUGAUCAUGUCUAGGCUUUAAGAGGUCAAUUUCAACUUUAAGCUUAGCCACGUUACCCCUAUACUUAGAGUAAGUGGCCAUAUCCGGGGCCAUGGUAAUACUAAUUGAGCUAACCAUUCUGUACAAGGUGUCCCAUCUAAAAAGAUGCCAGGGGAGAUGAUGAAUCAAAAUCCAUACAUGGGCAAUUGUAGUUUCACAUUCAAGGGCAAAAUCAAGGGUCCAUCUAAUAAUCUUCAUUAUAUAUGGACCAAGAGUGGUGAAUGGUCUAAAGUAUAUGUGGUAGAAGUCUGCUUCAUUGGUAAAGUCAAUAUAAACAUGAUUUAUAUCAUAGUAGGCUAUUUAACAGUAACUUUGAGAGGGAUAUGACUCAUGAACAACCUCUUUACUUCUUCCAUACUAGGUUUACCUCAGGUGAACUUCCCAACAAUUGUAAAUUUCCAAUCUUCAGCUAAUGUAAUAAAAUAGUCAUGGGCAGUGAAGUAUACUGUGGGUUUACCCAUAUGAGUACCGUGCGUAAUUUCCACUGGUUACUUGGUACUUGAGCUAUUGGCAAGAGCAGCUGGCACUGUAGCUGAGAAGGAUGGCUUAGACACUAGGUGGGGUGGCAUGGUUUGAACUUUGGAAUUAGUAUUUGAGCUAAAAGGGAGAUUAUUAUUUUCUGAUUUGCUUUCUGUUGACCAUUGGACUGGAAAUUUUGGGUAGUAUUGAUGUUUGGGUUGUGACGAAGAGGGGGGGGGGGGGGGUCAAAGUUACUGGAAACCUUCAAUUGUGGUGGAAGAGAGCUAUAUUUUUGGGUAUUUGGGAGUUUGGGAUUUAGUGUUGAGUUAACAUUUGUGCCAUCCAUAUGGACCGCAUCUUCGUGUCUAAUUUGGGAGGAUGUUGGUUAUGAGAAGGGGUAAUUUGAUGGAGUGGUUUGGGGUGUUGAGUUGGUGGUAGGUGGAUUAUGAUGGUGAGGUAUCGAAUUUUGAUUGGUAUUUUGUGGUGGUGGAUCGAGUGAGGGACCUCUAAUUCUCCAGUGAAGUCGGCAAAGCAUAGAGAGAAGUCAGAGAAAAUUAGUUAGAGAGAGAAAGUCGUGGAAUUUUUUAUACGAUCACAUCUAUGUUUGGAC
Molecule: long non-coding RNA, 4100 nt
Filed under: Nicotiana tabacum (common tobacco)
Lineage: Eukaryota; Viridiplantae; Streptophyta; Magnoliopsida; Solanales; Solanaceae
Description: long non-coding RNA (NTAB_LNC014214)
Source: RNAcentral